This 454-nucleotide ribosomal RNA is filed under the name uncultured bacterium. RNAcentral describes it as "bacterial SSU rRNA". It matches the Rfam family "Bacterial small subunit ribosomal RNA", at positions 340 to 783 of the family's 1533-position model. The record is from RNAcentral.
UACGGAAGGCAGCAGUGGGGAAUAUUGCACAAUGGGCGCAAGCCUGAUGCAGCCAUGCCGCGUGUAUGAAGAAGGCCUUCGGGUUGUAAAGUACUUUCAGUCGUGAGGAAGGUGUUAAGGUUAAUAACCUUAGCAAUUGACGUUAGCGACAGAAGAAGCACCGGCUAACUCCGUGCCAGCAGCCGCGGUAAUACGGAGGGUGCGAGCGUUAAUCGGAAUUACUGGGCGUAAAGGGCACGCAGGCGGUUAAUUAAGUUGGAUGUGAAAUCCCCGGGCUUAACCUGGGAAUGGCAUUCAAGACUGGUUAGCUAGAGUCUUGUAGAGGGGGUAGAAUUCCAUGUGUAGCGGUGAAAUGCGUAGAGAUGUGGAGGAAAUACCGGUGGCGAAGGCGGCCCCCUGGACAAAGGACUGACGCUCAUGUGCGAAAGCGUGGGGAGGCAAACAGGGAUUAGAU